This 62-nucleotide transfer RNA is filed under the name Antrokoreana gracilipes. Its description in RNAcentral is "tRNA-Gly". Lineage: Eukaryota; Metazoa; Arthropoda; Diplopoda; Julida; Nemasomatidae. The record is from RNAcentral.
AUCACUUGAGUAUAUAUGUACAGCCGACUUCCAAUCAGCAGGAUUAACCUUUAAAUGUGAUA